Molecule: long non-coding RNA, 740 nt
Organism: Polyodon spathula (Mississippi paddlefish)
Lineage: Eukaryota; Metazoa; Chordata; Actinopteri; Acipenseriformes; Polyodontidae
Exons: 4
Source: RefSeq, a predicted model, not a curated record
CUGCAAAGAAGACACAAAGCCAGGCAUUUGUUUUGAUGCCAGCAAACUUAGAGCAAUGGACCUACAGCUGUGGAUUUCCAUAUAGACAGCAAGAACCCCACACUGAGCACAGUGCCUUGGUUUUUUUAAGCAAUGUUUCCUCAUUUUGGCUUGCACGUGUGAUGACCACUGCUUGGACUGUCUUUAAAUGGAGGCCCGGCUCGCGUUAGCGGCGCUGCUCAGGAACUUCAGGCUGGGUGUUCGAUUUUCCAACUGUCAAAACCUGAAGCGUUUUACAAGAACUGAUUCAAACGAAACUGCAAAAAACAUUGGUGCAGAUACAACUUGGUUCAAUAAAGACUGAGGCCUGCUGCUCUUGUUGUAAAAGACUGUCCUCUUACUUUGUGGGAGUGAGUCACAAGAGAACCACAAUGUAGAGCUGAACAGGCUUAUCAUCGAGAUUUAAGGCUCUCACCUACCCCAUACAUGGAUUGAAUCCUAUCAAAGAGCAAGAUUGAAAUUGAACCGUCCACAAUGGGUUUCUAAAGGGUUUUUUCACAUCGUACCAUCUGUUGGCUUUUAAGAACACACAAAAUCCUACCUGAAAUCAUACAGGUCUGCUUUGGAGGAAAGUUGCAGGUGAGAUAUCAUCAUUAGUCUGCUGGGGCUUUUGUGAAAUUGAUUUAAGAUAUAGUAGGCAUUGUCAGUUUACAAAAAAUGUGUGCGUGUUGUUACAACCCAAUAAACAUGUGAAGAAAACA